This is a non-coding RNA of Pelobates cultripes (western spadefoot toad), 399 nucleotides long. The record is from the annotation of a GenBank genome assembly. NCBI's taxonomy places the organism in Eukaryota, Metazoa, Chordata, Amphibia, Anura, Pelobatidae.
GUUGCAAGCAAGUGUUUCGUAUCACUAGUAAUUAUUAUUUAUUUAUUUUUUUUAUAUAUUUUUGAUUGAUAAGAUUUCAUCAAAAAUGAGGGGUAGUAUUUAGGCAAGCCACAGCAACAUUGAGCCUUGGCCAAACCUGGCGCAAGUAGUAACACCAAUCAGGAGAUUCUCACGCUUGUCCAUAGGGUUUUAUCAUCUUCCAUAAAAGCAAGCAAACGUUUAUAGCAUAUGUAGUUCAGUCUCAACAGCUGUUUCUGUCACACACAGAAUGAGUGCAACUGCUGAAUAAGCUGAUAGCAGUUAUCCCACCACAGAUCCUGUUAUCAGCUUGUUGACAGCCCCAUUCACAAUUCGGUGAAAAUAUCUGUGUAAAUUAUUAAAGGACCACUCUAGGCACCC